GAUGAAGAACGUAGCGAAAUGCGAUACGUAAUGUGAAUUGCAGAAUUCAGUGAAUCAUCGAAUCUUUGAACGCAUAUUGCGCUCUCUGGUAUUCCGGAGAGCAUGCUUGUUUGAGUAUCAGUAAACACUUCAACUUCCAUAUCUUUUUUGAAAUGGGAGUUGGACUUGAGUGAUCCCAACGCUUUUCCUCACCGAAAAGUGGCGGGUUACUUGAAAUGCAGGUGCAGCUGGACUUUUCUCUGAGCUAUAAGCAUAUCUAUUUAGUCUGCCUAAAAAACAGAUUAUUACCUUUGCUGCAGCUAACAUAAAGGAGAUUAGUUCUUGUGCUGACUGAUGCAGGAUUCACAAAGACAGGCUUCGGCCGACUUUGUAAACUCGAUCUCAAAUCAAGUAAGACUACCCGCUGAACUUAAGCAUAUCAAUAAGCGGAGGA
Molecule: unclassified non-coding RNA, 433 nt
Filed under: soil metagenome
Description: partial contains 5.8S ribosomal RNA, internal transcribed spacer 2, and large subunit ribosomal RNA
Rfam family: 5.8S ribosomal RNA (bases 1-120)
Source: RNAcentral